This 303-nucleotide unclassified non-coding RNA is filed under the name plant metagenome. Its description in RNAcentral is "partial contains 5.8S ribosomal RNA, internal transcribed spacer 2, and large subunit ribosomal RNA". The stretch from base 1 to 105 matches the Rfam family "5.8S ribosomal RNA", at positions 50 to 154 of the family's 154-position model. The record is from RNAcentral.
GAAAUGCGAUAAGUAAUGUGAAUUGCAGAAUUCAGUGAAUCAUCGAAUCUUUGAACGCACAUUGCGCCCGCCAGUAUUCUGGCGGGCAUGCCUGUUCGAGCGUCAUUUCAACCAUCAAGCCCCGCGCUUGUGUUGGGGACCUGCGGCUGCCGCAGGCCCUGAAAACCAGUGGCGGGCUCGCUGUCACACCGGGCGUAGUAGAUUUUAUCUCGCUCAGGGCGUGCUGCGGGUUCCGGCCGUUAAAAAGCCUUUUUUACCCAAGGUUGACCUCGGAUCAGGUAGGAAGACCCGCUGAACUUAAGC